CCUACGGGAGGCAGCAGUGAGGAAUAUUGGUCAAUGGACGAGAGUCUGAACCAGCCAAGUAGCGUGAAGGAUGACUGCCCUAUGGGUUGUAAACUUCUUUUAUAUGGGAAUAAAAUGUUCCACGUGUGGCUUUUUGUAUGUACUAUAUGAAUAAGGAUCGGCUAACUCCGUGCCAGCAGCCGCGGUAAUACGGAGGAUCCGAGCGUUAUCCUGAUUUAUUGGGUUUAAAGGGAGCGUAGGUGGAUUGUUAAGUCAGUUGUGAAAGUUUGCGGCUCAACCGUAAAAUUGCAGUUGAAACUGGCAGUCUUGAGUACAGUAGAGGUGGGCGGAAUUCGUGGUGUAGCGGUGAAAUGCUUAGAUAUCACGAAGAACUCCGAUUGCGAAGGCAGCUCACUGGACUGCAACUGACACUGAGGCUCGAAAGUGUGGGUAUCAAACAGGAUUAGAUACCCGUGUAGUC
Molecule: ribosomal RNA, 460 nt
Filed under: uncultured bacterium
Lineage: Bacteria
Description: partial 16S ribosomal RNA
Rfam family: Bacterial small subunit ribosomal RNA
Source: RNAcentral